GAGGAAUAAGCAUCGGCUAACUCCGUGCCAGCAGCCGCGGUAAUACGGGGGAUGCAAGCGUUAUCCGGAAUCAUUGGGCGUAAAGCGCCUGUAGGUUGUUUACUAAGUCUGUUGUUAAAGACUAGGGCUUAACCCUAGAAAAGCAAUGGAAACUUGUAGACUAGAGUAUGGCAGGGGUAGAGGGAAUUUCUAGUGUAGCGGUGAAAUGCGUAGAUAUUAGAAAGAACACCAGUGGCGAAAGCGCUCUACUUGACCAUUACUGACACUCAGAGGCGAAAGCUAGGGUAGCAAAAGGGAUUAGAUACCCCUGUAGUCCUAGCCGUAAACGAUGGAUACUAGAUGUUGUGCUUAGUACAGUAUCGUAGCUAACGCGUUAAGUAUCCCGCCUGGGGAGUACGCUCGCAAGGGUGAAACUCAAAGGAAUUGACGGGGGCCCGCACAAGCGGUGGAGCAUGUGGUUUAAUUCGAUGCAACGCGAAGAACCUUACCAGGGCUUGACAUACUACAAAUUCUUUUGAGAAAAAGAAGUGCCUUCGGGAAUGUAGAUACAGGUGGUGCAUGGCUGUCGUCAGCUCGUGUCGUGAGAUGUUGGGUUAAGUCCCGCAACGAGCGCAACCCUUAUUUUUAGUUACCAAUUCGUUGGGUUUUUUAGAAAGACUGCCGGUGACAAACCGGAGGAAGGUGAGGAUGACGUCAAGUCAGCAUGCCCCUUAUGUCCUGGGCUACACACGUGCUACAAUGGUUAAGACAAAGAGUCGCAAGCUCGUGAGAGUAAGCUAAUCUACUAAACUUAGCCUAAGUUCAGAUUGUAGGCUGCAACUCGCCUACAUGAAG
This 834-nucleotide ribosomal RNA is filed under the name Haptophyta environmental samples. Its description in RNAcentral is "bacterial SSU rRNA". It matches the Rfam family "Bacterial small subunit ribosomal RNA", at positions 481 to 1325 of the family's 1533-position model. The record is from RNAcentral. Lineage: Eukaryota; Haptophyta.